RNAcentral lists this ribosomal RNA (446 nucleotides) under uncultured bacterium. Its description in RNAcentral is "partial 16S ribosomal RNA". It matches the Rfam family "Bacterial small subunit ribosomal RNA", at positions 338 to 795 of the family's 1533-position model. The record is from RNAcentral.
CCUACGGGUGGCAGCAGUCGAGAAUCAUUCACCAUGGGGGAAACCCUGAUGGUGCGACGCCGCGUGGGGUAAUGAAGGUCUUCGGAUUGUAAACCCCUGUCAUGUGGGAGCAAAUUAAUAAGAUAGUACCACAAGAGGAAGAGACGGCUAACUCUGUGCCAGCAGCCGCGGUAAUACAGAGGUCUCAGGCGUUGUUCGGAAUCACCGGGCGUAAAGCGUGCGUAGGCUGUUUCGUAAGUCGUGUGUGAAAGCCCCGGGCUCAACCCGCGGACGGCACAUGAUACUGCGAGACUAGAGUAAUGUAGGGGGGACCAGAAUUCUCGGUGUAGCAGUGAAAUGCGUAGAUAUCGAGAGGAACACUCGUGGCGAAGGCGGGUUCCUGGACAUAGACUGACGCUGAGGCGCGAAGGCCAGGGGAGCGAAAGGGAUUAGAUACCCUAGUAGUC